Molecule: ribosomal RNA, 253 nt
Filed under: uncultured bacterium
Lineage: Bacteria
Description: partial 16S ribosomal RNA
Rfam family: Bacterial small subunit ribosomal RNA
Source: RNAcentral
GACGGAGGAUGCAAGUGUUAUCCGGAAUUACUGGGCGUAAAGCGUCUGUAGGUGGUUUAGUAAGUCAACUGUUAAAUCUUGAGGCUCAACUUCAAAACAGCAGUCGAAACUAUUAGACUAGAGUAUAGUAGGGGUAAAGGGAAUUUCCAGUGGAGCGGUGAAAUGCGUAGAUAUUGGAAAGAACACCGAUGGCGAAGGCACUUUACUGGGCUAUUACUAACACUCAGAGACGAAAGCUAGGGUAGCAAAUGGG